CUGAAGUUACAUCCUGACACACCUGACCCCAUUGCGGCGCCUCUGGAUGACAUGGCGGUGGUGAGGAUGGGGCCCAAGGAGCACGGUCGGGAGGCGGUUCUCGAUGCUGUGAUCACUCCUAGUAUCUCCUACACACAGCUUCGUCGGAUGGACCCGAGCCUGAGCCAGCGCACGAGCCAGCCAAUGACUAGUACACAGUCCCUCUUUCAGGAGCAACAAUCUGCCUACCUGGAGUACACACGCCAGGAGACCAUGGCGUGGCAUCAGAGGCUUUAUGAACACCAAGUGCAGAGGGAUAAUCAG
This 303-nucleotide ribosomal RNA is filed under the name Triticum aestivum (bread wheat). Its description in RNAcentral is "partial small subunit ribosomal RNA". The record is from RNAcentral. Lineage: Eukaryota; Viridiplantae; Streptophyta; Magnoliopsida; Poales; Poaceae.